UGGAAAGUAAAAAAUCGUAACAAGGUCUCCGUAGGUGAACCUGCGGAGGGAUCAUUACACAAAUAUGAAGGCGGGCUGGAACCUCUCGGGGUUACAGCCUUGCUGAAUUAUUCACCCUUGUCUUUUGCGUACUUCUUGUUUCCUUGGUGGGUUCGCCCACCACUAGGACAAACAUAAACCUUUUGUAAUUGCAAUCAGCGUCAGUAACAAAUUAAUAAUUACAACUUUCAACAACGGAUCUCUUGGUUCUGGCAUCGAUGAAGAACGCAGCGAAAUGCGAUAAGUAGUGUGAAUUGCAGAAUUCAGUGAAUCAUCGAAUCUUUGAACGCACAUUGCGCCCUUUGGUAUUCCAAAGGGCAUGCCUGUUCGAGCGUCAUUUGUACCCUCAAGCUUUGCUUGGUGUUGGGCGUCUUGUCUCUAGCUUUGCUGGAGACUCGCCUUAAAGUAAUUGGCAGCCGGCCUACUGGUUUCGGAGCGCAGCACAAGUCGCACUCUCUAUCAGCAAAGGUCUAGCAUCCAUUAAGCCUUUUUUUCAACUUUUGACCUCGGAUCAGGUAGGGAUACCCGCUGAACUUAAGCAUAUCAAUAGCCGGGAAGGAA
This 600-nucleotide ribosomal RNA is filed under the name fungal endophyte sp. SX16. Its description in RNAcentral is "eukaryotic LSU rRNA". The stretch from base 223 to 376 matches the Rfam family "5.8S ribosomal RNA". The record is from RNAcentral. Lineage: Eukaryota; Fungi.